UCUACUUUCUAAUCAGAAUUCAGCAUGUAGCUAGGUUGUUAUGUGUUGUAGAUGAUAAAUCUCCACAUGCCCUUUAUCCUGUAGAAGCACGAUAAUAAAUAAAAGUCCCUACCAGAAGAUGAAGUCAUCUUGUUGUCCCCUGACUAAAGACCCAUGUGAUGUGCAAGUGUGGACCAUAGCAUAGCAAUGAACUUCCUAGGCAUAGCCAGUUCAUUGAUAAGGUUUUUAUUAGAGAUCCUGAAUCUUGAGUGGAGUGAUUUGAUUUGACCAGAUUGGACUACACUCAACUAACAGCCACGAUGCAGAACUGACUUCACAGUGAAGCCUGACUGGGCAAGUGGUGGUGGAGAGCUGACUACAUGACCGGGCCCCACCAGAACAGCAGUGGCAGAGCUGAUGUCACAGAACUGGAUGAGGUCACAGUUGUACCCAGAGUGCUAAAAUACUAUGCAAGAGGUUAUCCUCUCUGGACCCAAAAGAAGAGGAACCUUUUUGAGAAAUGUUGUUAAUCUUAUUUGGUCGUACAUCUCUGUUCUUCAAAUUCCCUCUUCAUGUUCUGAUUUCCAGCCUAUAUGUUACCUGCUAGAGUUUAUACACAUUUCUGUUGGCUUCACUUGGGUUGGAUUUCCACUUUUUCUUUCUUGCUCUCCUUUCAGUUUAAGGGUAUGUAUACCUUCUAUGACUCUACUUUGGCUGUUUUAAAUAACCUCCGUAUUGAGUCUAAGGAGUUUGUCCUUAUUUUCAAUGUUAGGGUCUCUUUGACUAGCUUCCUCCUUAAAAAAUAAAGGAUCAGUGUAAGGCUUCAGUGUUUUGGGGAUGGAAAGGGGUGAAUGAAGGAGACACAUGGGGGGAAUGUAGAGGUGAGAUGACAGACGGAUGUUGAAAACAGGGUGACCAGAUGUCCUGAUAAAAUUGAGAUUGUCCCGAUUUUUAGUUUUGUCCUGUGUCCCAACGAUGCACGGUUGGGAUGCCAUUUGUCCCGAUAUUGCGGCUUUGGCCACUCCGGACACUUUUUUUUUUGCUUCCCCAAUGUGUCCCGAUAUUUUGUCAGUUUCAUCUGGUCACCCUAGUUGAAAAGAGGGGGUGGCUAGAAAAGAGUAGCAGUACAAUUGAGUGGGUAGGGAAGGAGAGGUGCAGGGAGCCUUGGAUGGGGAAAAGAGGAGAUGCAGAGAGCAAAAAUUAGAUGUUAGAGAGAACAUGGAAAAGGAGGAAGAGAACACAAUGCAGGGGGAAAAAGAAGGGAGAUAUGAGGAAUAAGGAAAGGCUACAAAUGGAGAAUGUACACCCAGAUGUAAAGAAGAAAAAGAAUGUGGUGUGAAUGAUGAGAAAAGGGAAUGUGAAGAACAAAAGCACAAGACACAUUGUUUUUUAAAGUUUAUUUAGUAGGAAGUUGAAUACCAGAAUUGUUAAAAUACCAUGUGCAGGAAUGUUUUGUUUUAUACAGGUGUGUACAUUUACACAUAG
Long non-coding RNA from Dermochelys coriacea (leatherback sea turtle), 1464 nucleotides. RefSeq lists it as uncharacterized. The record is from RefSeq and is a predicted model, not a curated record. The transcript has 3 exons. NCBI's taxonomy places the organism in Eukaryota, Metazoa, Chordata, Testudines, Dermochelyidae.